AUUUUCUUCAGUUGAACAAACAAAAGACUAAAAUUCCAAUCCCGAAGUAAACAAACCUUAUCAACAAAUUAAGCCUGAAGUUCAACUAAGAAAAUUCAAUCAUCCAAGGAAACAGCAGCAAUAUGAUACAUAAAAACACCGAAAACAAUUACUCCCUCCAUUUCAAUUUAUUUGACCUUUUUUCCUCUCUAGUCCAUUGAAAAAAGAAUGACCCUUUCCUUUUUAUAG
RNAcentral lists this unclassified non-coding RNA (228 nucleotides) under Hevea brasiliensis (rubber tree). The record is from RNAcentral. Lineage: Eukaryota; Viridiplantae; Streptophyta; Magnoliopsida; Malpighiales; Euphorbiaceae.